CCAUGGGCUUGGUCGCCGGCGCUGCUCAGAUGCCGCACCUCCGGCUGAUCCUCCUCGUGGAGCAGGUAUUCCUUUACUUUGCCUGCAUCUCAUGGAGCCCAAGCUCCUUCUCCACUACAUCGACGCCGGUAGCCACCUCCUGGAAACCCCCUUCGGCCAUGUCGUCCCUUCCCAUCGGUGGGUGGUUGGUGGUUCUCCGUCGGGGAAGCUAUCUGGAUGGCCGCCGUAUCCCCUACAAAGCCCGCUGGAAGAUGAUGUUCUGGAAACCAAUCUGAAAUGGAAACGGCCUCUGCCGACACCGUGACCUCCAACUGAGCAGCAGCAGGAGAGGAGCAAGAGGAGGAACUCCCUCCUGUGCAUCUUCUCGGUAGAUGGCAGGCUGUUUGCUCCAUUCCUGUUUUUUCGGUUCGUGCAUCUUCUCUCGGUUGAUGGUUGGUUCUGUCUGGUGCUCUGGUGAUGCACAUAGAGCAAGGAAGGCAAAUUUUCUGCCAUCCGCAUUUUCCCUCCCUUAGAUUCUUCAUUGUGCGAGGUGUGGUAUGUCUCCUGUGUACAUUCUAAUUUUUUUUAACAAGACAUUCUAAUUUCUAAGGUUUGCUACCUGUGGCUGAAAUUGGUAAAUAUAACUGGAUGGUUGUACAGUUGAGGUAAUAAUAUUUGGUAACUACAUUAGUUUUUUUUUACAGGAGAUACACUGCAUGAGCUCUGGGUUAUUUGCAGCCUUUGUCUACAUUCUUUUAUUGGCAGGGGAUCCUUGGUGAUGAUUCAUGUAUUACUCUGAGUAAUAACUGAAACUUCAAGGAAAAUGUCAAUCCAGAGCAUUAUAUUUGCAGGUCGUAGUUACUUAAGCUUAGACCUUUUCUAUG
This is a long non-coding RNA of Lolium rigidum, 863 nucleotides long. RefSeq lists it as uncharacterized. The transcript is spliced from 3 exons. Lineage: Eukaryota; Viridiplantae; Streptophyta; Magnoliopsida; Poales; Poaceae. The record is from RefSeq and is a predicted model, not a curated record.